Molecule: microRNA precursor, 93 nt
Filed under: Canis lupus familiaris (dog)
Lineage: Eukaryota; Metazoa; Chordata; Mammalia; Carnivora; Canidae
Also listed under: 1 other name
Description: mir-8799 microRNA precursor family
Rfam family: mir-8799 microRNA precursor family
Source: Rfam by way of RNAcentral
GGGGGAUCGCAGGAUCCUGGGCUGUGUCCCCCCAGCGCCCUGGGCUCCGGGGCCUGCGCUGCUGGAAUCGCGCUCCCGGGCAGGUAGCCCGCU